RNAcentral lists this ribosomal RNA (2127 nucleotides) under Stentor polymorphus. RNAcentral's name for it is "bacterial LSU rRNA". It matches the Rfam family "Bacterial large subunit ribosomal RNA", at positions 1 to 2038 of the family's 2925-position model. Lineage: Eukaryota; Ciliophora; Heterotrichea; Heterotrichida; Stentoridae. The record is from RNAcentral.
AUUAUCGAUUAAGAGCAUUUAGUGGAUGCCUAGACAGAAGAAGAAAAGGGACGUUAAACGCAACGAAACGCCAUAGAAAGGUGCGUCAAUCCUGAGAUCUAUGGAUUUCCCUUAAGGAAACUACGAAAUUGACAAUUACCUAGUGAACUGAAACAUCUCAGUAACUAGAGGAAAAAAAAUCAACCGAGACUCCGUUAGUAGUGGUGAGCGAACACGGAUUAGGCCUUUAUUCUUUUUUCAUUUCAUAUGUUAAAGCUGUUUGGAACAACGCGCCAAAGAAGGUGAUAGCCCUGUAAAUAGAAGAAAAUGACUAGAUAAAGAAUAAAACACAUGAGUAAAACGAAGAUCACCUUUGUUUGAAUGUGAGUGAACAGUUUAAAAAAUUGAAAAAUUGGGCAAAUUGCCACUUGGAAAGGGGGACCACCCUCUAAGCCUAAGUAUAAUCUUCUGAUCGAUAGUGAACAAGUACCGUGAGGGAAAGGUGAAAAAGACCCCUAAAUAGGGAGUGAAAAAGAUCCUGAAACUGAAUGCUUACAAGCAGUCGAAGCUCUUGUUUUAAGAAGAGUGACGGCGUACCUUUUGCAUAAUGGGUCAGCGAGUAAAUUUAUGAAGCAAGCCUAAGCUCUUAAGUAGAGGCGGAGUGAAAGCAAGCUUGAAACGAGCUCAUUUCAUUUCAUUCAAUGGAACAAAAUUGAAAAGAAAAGAGAUGGAAAAGAAAGUUUCUUAAAUUUGACCCGAAACCAAGCGAUCUAAUCAUGAGCAGGUUGAAAAAAUGAUAAUACGUUUUGGAGGACCGAACCCACAUCUGUGGCAAUAGAUGGGGAUGACUUGUGAUUAUGGGGUGAAAAGCCAAUCGAGCUUGGAAAUAGCUGGUUUUCUGCGAAAUCUAUUGAGGUAGAGCGUAUAGAGAGUAUUAAAAAGGAGGUAGAGCACUCGCUGGGUGAUGGUGGCCCAAAGCUUGACUGAUCCCAUGGAAACUCCGAAUACCUUUUUAAUCACUAUACAGACAGACUAGAGGCGCUAAGGUCUCUAGUCGAAAGGGAAACAACCCAGAUCGAACGCUAAGGUUCCAAAGCAAUCUCUGAGUGGCAAAGGAAGUUCCUAGGCUCAGACAACCAGGAGGUAGGCUUGGAAGCAGCCAUCCUUUGAAGAAAGCGUAAUAGCUCACUGGUCUAUGUCUAGUAGCACCUAAAAUGUAUCGGAGCUCAAGAGAUUCACCGAAGCGGCGAUUUUAAAUCAGUGAAAACAGAUUUAAAAGGUAGCAGAACGUUCUGUAAAUCGUUGACGUUUCAUUGUGGAAUGAAAUUGAGAUAUCAGAAGCGAGAAUGCUGACAUGAGUAACGACAAAUCAUGUGAAAAUCAUGAUGGCCGAAAGUCCUAGGUUUUCUACAGACCGUAUCUCGGUGUAGAGUGAAUCGGCCCCUAAGAGAAGAGCGACAGCUCGUUCUUGAUGGGUACAAUGACUAAGACUCAUUGAUGUUCAAUCAAGUGACGGCCAAGACCAUGCUCUCCAAGUGAAUGGAUACCUUGUAGUUUCUUUGCAAUUUUGUUCCAUUUACUUUCAAUUUACAUGUAAAUUGAACAAAAUGGAAAUGAAAUUGAACCACAUUGAAACGAGUGUGACUUGGUCCAGGAAAAAACUGGAUUAUGACAAAUUUUCAAUUUGUCAACGAUUCUAUUUUCUCUAAAAAUAGAAAAAAACACCGUACUUAAACCGACACUGGUGGACUUGUUGUAAAAACUAAGGCUAAGAGAGAAUCAUGUUGAAGGAACUCGGCAAAUUACCUCCGUAACUUCGGAAAAAGGAGGACAUGGAGCUGUUCUGACAUUUCUGUCAAAACUGCCCAUGUGGCACAGAAUAGGGGGUGGCGACUGUUUACUAAAAACACAGGACUCUGCAAAGUGGUAACACGACGUAUAGGGUCUGACACCUGCCCGGUGCUGGAAACUUAACAGGAGGGGUGCGUCUCCGUUUCUCUUGAAACAAGACAAGCUCUCAAUGCAAGGCCCAGUAAACGGCGGCCGUAACUCUGACGGUCCUAAGGUAGCGAAAUUCCUUGUCGGGUAAGUUCCGACCUGCAUGAAUGGUGUCACGACUUCCCCGCUGUCUCCAACAUGAUCUCAGUG